GGGCAGUUAGCUCAGUUGGUAGAGCACCGUGUUCACAUCGCGGGGGUCGGCGGUUCGAACCCGUCACUGCCCA
RNAcentral lists this transfer RNA (73 nucleotides) under Eilatimonas milleporae. RNAcentral's name for it is "bacterium MD2 tRNA". It matches the Rfam family "tRNA". Rfam says of the family: Transfer RNA (tRNA) molecules are approximately 80 nucleotides in length. Their secondary structure includes four short double-helical elements and three loops (D, anti-codon, and T loops). The record is from Rfam by way of RNAcentral. Lineage: Bacteria; Pseudomonadati; Pseudomonadota; Alphaproteobacteria; Kordiimonadales; Kordiimonadaceae.